AUUGCCUGGGGAUGAGAGGGAGAGACAACGCGUGUCUUACACAUCUCCCAACAGCCGACUUAGAUGUGAUCCGUUCUCCCAGAGGGAGCAGGUUUCUUUGAACUUUUCCUUUUUAUGUACAGCAUAGUGCUGAGCAGAUCACUGCACUGUGCAGGAGUUUUAACGACAGUCAGGCCAACAGCAUGGAAGGACAGCGGGAGAGUCAGGAUCCUCCUCCGAGGCCUCUGGCCCGCCACCUCUCUGAUGCAGACCGCCUCCGCAAAGUCAUCCAGGAGCUUGUGGACACAGAGAAGUCCUACGUGAAGGAUCUGAGCUGCCUCUUUGAAUUAUACUUGGAGCCACUUCAGAAUGAGACCUUUCUUACCCAAGAUGAGAUGGAGUCACUUUUUGGAAGUUUGCCAGAGAUGCUUGAGUUUCAGAAGGUGUUUCUGGAGACCUUGGAGGAUGGGAUUUCAGCAUCAUCUGACUUUAACACCCUAGAAACCCCCUCACAGUUUAGAGUAAGUAUCUCAGAUUUAGGCUUAAAGUAAAAAUACGUGGCUGUGGU
RNAcentral lists this small RNA (547 nucleotides) under Pongo abelii (Sumatran orangutan). RNAcentral's name for it is "retained intron". The record is from RNAcentral. Lineage: Eukaryota; Metazoa; Chordata; Mammalia; Primates; Hominidae.